UUAAAAGUUAUGUUCUUUAAAUUUAAAAAAUUUGGCGGUGUUUUAGUCUAGUUAGAGGAACCUGUGUUAUAAACGAUACAACACGUAUUAUUUUACUUAUUUUAGUAGAUCAGCUUGUAUACCGUCAUUAUAAGAUAAUUUAGGAGAGAAUAUUAUUGAGAUCAUAUUAUUGAGUAUAUUAGAUCAAGGUGCAGCUUAUGGGUAAGCAAACAUGGGUUACAAUAAAAUUUAUUUAAUAUGAAUUAAGUGUUUAAAUAUAUUUAUGAAGGAGGAUUUAAUUGUAAGGGGGGAGCAGUGAGCUUUUCUGAU
This 309-nucleotide ribosomal RNA is filed under the name Lacunicambarus aff. diogenes 73 MGG-2018. RNAcentral's name for it is "partial small subunit ribosomal RNA". The record is from RNAcentral. Lineage: Eukaryota; Metazoa; Arthropoda; Malacostraca; Decapoda; Cambaridae.